UCUCCGUAGGUGAACCUGCGGAGGGAUCAUUACAGAGUUCUCGCCCUCGCGGGUAGAUCUCCCACCCACUGUUAUCGUUACUGUGUUGCUUUGGGGGGCCGCCGGGCCCCGCCAGGCCGCCAGCUCCGGCUGGCGCGCGCCCGCCAGAGGCCCAGCAAACUCUGAAUGUUAGUGUCGUCUGAGUACUAUAUAAUAGUUAAAACUUUCAACAACGGAUCUCUUGGUUCUG
RNAcentral lists this unclassified non-coding RNA (229 nucleotides) under plant metagenome. RNAcentral's name for it is "partial contains small subunit ribosomal RNA, internal transcribed spacer 1, and 5.8S ribosomal RNA". The record is from RNAcentral.